AUUGAACGCUGGCGGCAGGCCUAACACAUGCAAGUCGAGCGGAGCGGCGGACGGGUGAGUAAUGCCUGGGAAUCUGCCUGGUAGUGGGGGAUAACGUCCGGAAACGGGCGCUAAUACCGCAUACUAUCAGAUGAGCCUAGGGCGUAUUAGCUAGUUGGUGGGGCAAAGGCCUACCAAGGCGACGAUCCGUAACUGGUCUGAGAGGAUGAUCAGUCACACUGGAACUUAGACACGGUCCAGACUCCUACGGGAGGCAGCAGUAGGGAAUAUUUGGCAAUGGGCGAAAGCCUGAUCCAGCCAUGCCGCGUGAGUGAAGAAGGUCUUCGGAUUGUAAAACUCUUUAAGUUGGGAGGCGUUACCUACAGAAUAAGCACCGGCUAACUUCGUGCCAGCAGCCGCGGUAAUUC
RNAcentral lists this ribosomal RNA (407 nucleotides) under uncultured bacterium. RNAcentral's name for it is "partial 16S ribosomal RNA". It matches the Rfam family "Bacterial small subunit ribosomal RNA", at positions 30 to 526 of the family's 1533-position model. The record is from RNAcentral.